Long non-coding RNA from Sitophilus oryzae (rice weevil), 320 nucleotides. RefSeq lists it as uncharacterized. The transcript is spliced from 3 exons. The record is from RefSeq and is a predicted model, not a curated record. Lineage: Eukaryota; Metazoa; Arthropoda; Insecta; Coleoptera; Curculionidae.
UAACCUUUGGAAUGUAGUCCUAAUGGUUCCUGGCAUUUGGGGAAGGAAUCAAUUUUAAGUUUUCAUGGGUAUUUUUGUGAUUUUCUAAACGUGGUUUUGGUUGUCCUGUCAUGAGUUUAAUUUUUGAGUAAACCCUCAGCAUCGUGAGGGUUUUACCGUCCAGUUACAUGGCGAGUUAUAUGUCGUGAUUGGUGGUUUGAGGUACGAGAGCCUGUAUCUAUGAUCCAUGUUUGAUUUCCACAUGGCUGGUGGUAUUGUCAGGGGCUGUUCGAGGCUGUGGUAGAUUGGGGAUGAGCUCCCACACCUAGCGUCCACACACC